GCUUUAUCAACGGACGUAAAUCGCCUCAAAUCAUUGACCGGAAAACAGAUAAAACAAAACAGCACAGCAAAAGAACAUGCGUGCUGAUUGCCUACAAGUUUGUUGAUAUAAACUAGUUAUAAAGCAGCGCUUCAAAGGCGGGAUGCAAUCAGUUCUGCUUUAAACUUCCGAUGGCGAUUUAGCAAACAGCAGCAUAAUGUUAAAAGUGAGUGUGUGAGUUCUAAAACACAUCAGUAUUAACCAUUCUAGUAACAGGCGGCGUCCUUUUUGAGCUUCCCCAAGCUAAAAACUCCGAUCAAGGUCAAGAAUGGAAUCUGGUUCGUGAAAGCAAGGGUGUCAUCGAACAGCAAGAACCGGAUGCGGAAAUAGAUCAGCAACGAAAUCCACAGAAAGUAAGCGACGAUGCUGCACUACCAAAUUAUGAAUUCGCCUAUGGAGUCCACGAUCCGGUUACCGGUGACCAUAAGGAUCAGUGGGAGAAACGUGUGGGAGAUCACGUCCAAGGUGUGUACACACUGGACCAACCAAAUGGCAAAAAGCGAAUAGUCGAAUAUGAAGGUGAUCAGCGUGGCGUUAAACAAGUCGUUAAAGAAGUUGAUAUUGUUAGUGAACUUAGUCGACGGGAACAGUUGAAUGGUAUUGGCCAUAGUUACAAUAUUUUAGACAAAAUUGAUUCAUCAGUAAUUAAAUGAUUGCGUAUGGUGUGUCUGAUAAAUUAUGAGGUCUGUUGCUGAGCAUUAUGUCUGUUUUCGUAUAAAAAGCACGGAAAUUUGAACUCUCAUAUCUCAUAUCUCGCAAUGUAUCUACCGAUUUAGUCACCGAUUUAUAUUACUAAGGUUACACUAGACAUGAUAAACUUGUUAUACUCUGAAAACAGUUUACGUACCUAUAUUAACUAUACUAAAUUUUAUAGCCUUAAGUCUGAAGGCUAUGUGGUUUAAACAAAACACUUUUGUCAGACAUGUCAUAGAAGAACCGACAGUUAUCAAUUCAUAAUUAUGAAGCACUUUUUUCAAUCCCUACUGCAAAAUGCCAUAAGGAUAAUAAGAUGAUAUUAAAUGUGAAAAAAACAUACUAGAGCAUUGCGGCUCAGAAAAGUGUCAAACACGACUUAGCCUACCAAAUAAAAGAACUAUUUAAAAAAAAGGCCCACAAUGAACAUUUUGAUAAAGUAUGCAACUUCCCUAGGUUGUGGGUUGAGGUCGAAUAAAGUAUAACAACAAUUAUUGCCAGAAAUGCGCUUGAUAUUGCCCACACGAACCAUGCACUGUUUAUAAUAUUUGGAACAACUUGUGGUACUCGCCAACAUUUAAUUUUAUUUUAGAGAAAUAAUGAAAAA
Molecule: RNA transcript, 1339 nt
Organism: Armigeres subalbatus
Lineage: Eukaryota; Metazoa; Arthropoda; Insecta; Diptera; Culicidae
Gene name: cuticle protein-like
Exons: 2
Source: RefSeq, a predicted model, not a curated record